RNAcentral lists this ribosomal RNA (1487 nucleotides) under uncultured organism. Its description in RNAcentral is "SSU rRNA". It matches the Rfam family "Bacterial small subunit ribosomal RNA". The record is from RNAcentral.
GGCUCAUGACGAACGCUGGCGGCGUGCCUAAUACAUGCAAGUCGAACGAACUCUGGUAUUGAUUGGUGCUUGCAUCAUGAUUUACAUUUGAGUGAGUGGCGAACUGGUGAGUAACACGUGGGAAACCUGCCCAGAAGCGGGGGAUAACACCUGGAAACAGAUGCUAAUACCGCAUAACAACUUGGACCGCAUGGUCCGAGCUUGAAAGAUGGCUUCGGCUAUCACUUUUGGAUGGUCCCGCGGCGUAUUAGCUAGAUGGUGGGGUAACGGCUCACCAUGGCAAUGAUACGUAGCCGACCUGAGAGGGUAAUCGGCCACAUUGGGACUGAGACACGGCCCAAACUCCUACGGGAGGCAGCAGUAGGGAAUCUUCCACAAUGGACGAAAGUCUGAUGGAGCAACGCCGCGUGAGUGAAGAAGGGUUUCGGCUCGUAAAACUCUGUUGUUAAAGAAGAACAUAUCUGAGAGUAACUGUUCAGGUAUUGACGGUAUUUAACCAGAAAGCCACGGCUAACUACGUGCCAGCAGCCGCGGUAAUACGUAUGUGGCAAGCGUUGUCCGGAUUUAUUGGGCGUAAAGCGAGCGCAGGCGGUUUUUUAAGUCUGAUGUGAAAGCCUUCGGCUCAACCGAAGAAGUGCAUCGGAAACUGGGAAACUUGAGUGCAGAAAAGGACAGUGGAACUCCAUGUGUAGCGGUGAAAUGCGUAGAUAUAUGGAAGAACACCCGUGGCGAAGGCGGCUGUCUGGUCUGUAACUGACGCUGAGGCUCGAAAGUAUGGGUAGCAAACAGGAUUAGAUACCCUGGUAGUCCAUACCGUAAACGAUGAAUGCUAAGUGUUGGAGGGUUUCCGCCCUUCAGUGCUGCAGCUAACGCAUUAAGCAUUCCGCCUGGGGAGUACGGCCGCAAGGCUGAAACUCAAAGGAAUUGACGGGGGCCCGCACAAGCGGUGGAGCAUGUGGUUUAAUUCGAAGCUACGCGAAGAACCUUACCAGGUCUUGACAUACUAUGCAAAUCUAAGAGAUUAGACGUUCCCUUCGGGGACAUGGAUACAGGUGGUGCAUGGUUGUCGUCAGCUCGUGUCGUGAGAUGUUGGGUUAAGUCCCGCAACGAGCGCAACCCUUAUUAUCAGUUGCCAGCAUUAAGUUGGGCACUCUGGUGAGACUGCCGGUGACAAACCGGAGGAAGGUGGGGAUGACGUCAAAUCAUCAUGCCCCUUAUGACCUGGGCUACACACGUGCUACAAUGGAUGGUACAACGAGUUGCGAACUCGCGAGAGUAAGCUAAUCUCUUAAAGCCAUUCUCAGUUCGGAUUGUAGGCUGCAACUCGCCUACAUGAAGUCGGAAUCGCUAGUAAUCGCGGAUCAGCAUGCCGCGGUGAAUACGUUCCCGGGCCUUGUACACACCGCCCGUCACACCAUGAGAGUUUGUAACACCCAAAGUCGGUGGGGUAACCUUUUAGGAACCAGCCGCCUAAGGUGGGACAGAUG